RNAcentral lists this ribosomal RNA (362 nucleotides) under uncultured bacterium. RNAcentral's name for it is "bacterial SSU rRNA". It matches the Rfam family "Bacterial small subunit ribosomal RNA", at positions 28 to 391 of the family's 1533-position model. The record is from RNAcentral.
GAUGAACGCUAGCGGCAGGCUUAACACAUGCAAGUCGAGGGGUAGAGGAAGCUUGCUUCCUUGAGACCGGCGCACGGGUGCGUAACGCGUAUACAAUCUACCUUUUACAGAGGGAUAGCCCAGAGAAAUUUGGAUUAAUACCUCAUAGUAUUUUCGGAUCGCAUGAUUUGAUUAUUAAAGUUCCAACGGUAAAAGAUGAGUAUGCGUCCCAUUAGCUAGAUGGUAAGGUAACGGCUUACCAUGGCAAUGAUGGGUAGGGGUCCUGAGAGGGAGAUCCCCCCACACUGGUACUGAGACACGGACCAGACUCCUACGGGAGGCAGCAGUGAGGAAUAUUGGACAAUGGCGCAAGCCUGAUCCAG